RNAcentral lists this transfer-messenger RNA (394 nucleotides) under Bacteroidia. RNAcentral's name for it is "JAJTFW01 sp017995075 Standard tmRNA". It matches the Rfam family "transfer-messenger RNA". Rfam says of the family: Bacterial tmRNA, also known as 10Sa RNA or SsrA, is named for its dual tRNA and mRNA-like properties. Its role is to liberate the mRNA from a stalled ribosome. RNAcentral also lists the same sequence under 1 other name. Lineage: Bacteria; Pseudomonadati; Bacteroidota. The record is from RNAcentral.
GGGGUCGACAGGAAUCGACAGGAGGAGCAGUUAGCAGGUAAGCAUGCAGGGCCAGGGAUGUUGUCCCUUAAAACGCACGUCCACUCGUCUAAAUGGCGAAAACAACUAUGCGCUUGCUGCCUAAUCUACCAAGUAGAUUAGCUUAAUUCAGGCUCCAGGAGUCUGAACGAGCUGCCUUACCAUCGCCUCCCGUUUGCCGGGCGGCGGAUUUAGGCAUCACAAUGGCAAACUGGCUGUAUCGGAGUUCUGACGGUAUAGCGAGAUAAAAGAACUAAGGAAGACAUUGGUCAGUAUAGCACCGUGUGUUUUCCCUACAAUCCAAGCUAAACUAAGCAUGUAGAAAGCUUGUUGAUUCCCUGGCUGGACGUGGGUUCAAAUCCCACCGGCUCCACAA